This 497-nucleotide ribosomal RNA is filed under the name uncultured bacterium. RNAcentral's name for it is "partial 16S ribosomal RNA". It matches the Rfam family "Bacterial small subunit ribosomal RNA", at positions 28 to 507 of the family's 1533-position model. The record is from RNAcentral.
GAUGAACGCUGGCGGCGUGCCUAAUACAUGCAAGUCGAGCGAACAGACGAGGAGCUUGCUCCUCUGACGUUAGCGGCGGACGGGUGAGUAACACGUGGAUAACCUACCUAUAAGACUGGGAUAACUUCGGGAAACCGGAGCUAAUACCGGAUAAUAUAUUGAACCGCAUGGUUCAAUAGUGAAAGACGGUUUUGCUGUCACUUAUAGAUGGAUCCGCGCCGCAUUAGCUAGUUGGUAAGGUAACGGCUUACCAAGGCAACGAUGCGUAGCCGACCUGAGAGGGUGAUCGGCCACACUGGAACUGAGACACGGUCCAGACUCCUACGGGAGGCAGCAGUAGGGAAUCUUACGCAAUGGGCGAAAGCCUGACGGAGCAACGCCGCGUGAGUGAAGAAGGUCUUCGGAUCGUAAAACUCUGUUAUUAGGGAAGAACAAAUGUGUAAGUAACUAUGCACGUCUUGACGGUACCUAAUCAGAAAGCCACGGCUAACUACGUG